RNAcentral lists this ribosomal RNA (465 nucleotides) under Vreelandella stevensii. RNAcentral's name for it is "partial 16S ribosomal RNA". It matches the Rfam family "Bacterial small subunit ribosomal RNA", at positions 338 to 795 of the family's 1533-position model. The record is from RNAcentral. Lineage: Bacteria; Pseudomonadati; Pseudomonadota; Gammaproteobacteria; Oceanospirillales; Halomonadaceae.
CCUACGGGUGGCAGCAGUGGGGAAUAUUGGACAAUGGGCGAAAGCCUGAUCCAGCCAUGCCGCGUGUGUGAAGAAGGCCUUCGGGUUGUAAAGCACUUUCAGUGGGGAAGAAAGCCUUGGGGCUAAUACCCUCGAGGAAGGACAUCACCCACAGAAGAAGCACCGGCUAACUCCGUGCCAGCAGCCGCGGUAAUACGGAGGGUGCGAGCGUUAAUCGGAAUUACUGGGCGUAAAGCGCGCGUAGGCGGUCUGAUAAGCCGGUUGUGAAAGCCCCGGGCUCAACCUGGGAACGGCAUCCGGAACUGUCAGGCUAGAGUGCAGGAGAGGAAGGUAGAAUUCCCGGUGUAGCGGUGAAAUGCGUAGAGAUCGGGAGGAAGACCAGUGGCGAAGGCGGCCUUCUGGACUGACACUGACGCUGAGGUGCGAAAGCGUGGGUAGCAAACAGGAUUAGAUACCCGUGUAGUC